Molecule: ribosomal RNA, 267 nt
Filed under: Triticum aestivum (bread wheat)
Lineage: Eukaryota; Viridiplantae; Streptophyta; Magnoliopsida; Poales; Poaceae
Description: partial small subunit ribosomal RNA
Source: RNAcentral
UUGCAGGAAGCCAAGCUAGCUAAGAUGGAGGCGGAUAACUGGGAGGAGUUACAGUUGAAAGUAGCCAGGACUAUACGGUUGUGUUUGUCGGACCAAGUUAUUUAUCAUGUGAUGGAUGAGAAUUUGCCGAAGAAGAUCUAGGAGAAGCUGAAAAGUCAGUUUAUGUCCAAGACUGCGACGACCAAGGUGUAUCUGAAGCAAAAGUUGUAUGGGAUGAGGAUGCAGGAGGGGUUAGAUCUUGUGGAGUAUAUGAACGCCUUUAAUUAA